This is a long non-coding RNA of Polistes dominula (European paper wasp), 717 nucleotides long. The record is from RefSeq and is a predicted model, not a curated record. NCBI's taxonomy places the organism in Eukaryota, Metazoa, Arthropoda, Insecta, Hymenoptera, Vespidae.
CUGUAGUUAGAGGGAAACAGUUCAGAGUGCAAGAGAGAUAGACAGUCACGGUAACGCAACUGGCAACUUUACAAGAUGGUGUUCAGUACCACACAAAUCUUUUGUAGACGAUAAACUUUAUAUUUGUUAUUUUUUAUAAUAUUCAAUUUCUGUGAAACAGAUCCUGCAAUAAGCCUAUGAAAUAGAAUAUCAUAAAAUACGAUAGGCAGCAAAUAUAAGGUAGGAUGCGCACUAGUAAACGCAAGACCUACGGCCAGCCAAGUAGUGCAGGCUCUAACCGAAAGAUUAAGAAGAACGACAUAUCAAAAAAUCAGCUUACCUACAAUUAUUAUUUUCCCGACAUUGCUAGCUCCCAGACUAUUUUACAUGAUGAACAAUUGAUGGUACUAUUAUAAAACCGCUCACACACACACACACGAAGGCAGAUAGAAUUAAAGGUUAACUUAUCUUAUUUAACAUUAAUAUUUUGAUUUAUUUAAAUCUAAUUCUAUUACAGGUAAAUGUGAUACCCUACUUUAUCUACCUAUAUAGGAGAGUUUCUUUUAUAAUUGAUAUUUUUCCCGCAGUUGUCGCUGCAGUCGCAUACCAUUUGAGUAAACAAAAAUUUAAUCAGAAUAAAACUUGACAAAAAUCACGCUAGGAGCCGAUCAAUUUAAUUAGGCUAGAUAAUUAUAUUUUCAUUAAUUAACAUUUAUAUAUUUCUGCUCCAUUUUGUUU